RNAcentral lists this ribosomal RNA (180 nucleotides) under uncultured bacterium. Its description in RNAcentral is "partial 16S ribosomal RNA". It matches the Rfam family "Bacterial small subunit ribosomal RNA", at positions 1311 to 1500 of the family's 1533-position model. The record is from RNAcentral.
CUCGCCUGCACGAAGCCGGAGUUGCUAGUAAUCGCGGAUCAGAAUGCCGCGGUGAAUGCGUUCCCGGGUCUUGUACACACCGCCCGUCACACCAUGGAAGUUGGGGGUGCCCAAAGCCGGCAGGGAAAUAUGCUGUCUAAGGCAAAACCAAUGACUGGGGUGAAGUCGUAACAAGGUACC